Molecule: ribosomal RNA, 459 nt
Filed under: Triticum aestivum (bread wheat)
Lineage: Eukaryota; Viridiplantae; Streptophyta; Magnoliopsida; Poales; Poaceae
Description: partial small subunit ribosomal RNA
Source: RNAcentral
AUGAUUGACGACGGAGCAUGUUUUGAGAGAGAAUAUGUCCUCUUUGAACAUAUGGGGAUGCUCUGUCGUCAUGUUCUGAAGGUCAUGGAUAAUAUUGGGAUGAAAGAAAAUACAAAGAGACACAUAGUGAAAAGGCGGACAAAAUAUCCAAGAGAUAUUUUGCCAGAUCACUUGAAGCACUACUGGCUGGACCAGAUCAACAACACAUCCCUAACUUUUCGGCACAACCGGAUGUACAUUAGGGCGUUGGAACUGGUUCGACUUGGAGACGCAAGUGUUGAGGCAUAUCAAACUCUGAUGGGGCUUUUAGACCAGGCCAUGCCGGUGAUGGACCCUUUUGACAAAUGUCGUGACAGGCUAGGGCUUGGAAGACUGUGGAUAACAACAAUGUGGCAGAUACCGACGGGGAGCGAGCUGGGAGAAGUAUAUGUGAAGACGACAAAAUGUCAUGCAGCAUGA